AACACCGUCCGGAACUUACGAUGUGAAA
This 28-nucleotide small RNA is filed under the name Bombyx mori (domestic silkworm). Its description in RNAcentral is "ovarian small RNA-2442". Lineage: Eukaryota; Metazoa; Arthropoda; Insecta; Lepidoptera; Bombycidae. The record is from RNAcentral.